Molecule: transfer RNA, 75 nt
Filed under: Anaerostipes sp. Marseille-Q3525
Lineage: Bacteria; Bacillati; Bacillota; Clostridia; Lachnospirales; Lachnospiraceae
Also listed under: 1 other name
Description: tRNA-Pro
Rfam family: tRNA
About the family: Transfer RNA (tRNA) molecules are approximately 80 nucleotides in length. Their secondary structure includes four short double-helical elements and three loops (D, anti-codon, and T loops).
Source: RNAcentral
UGCGCAGUGGCGUAGUUUGGCUAUCGCACCUGAUUUGGAUUCAGGGGAUCGUAGGUUCAAAUCCUACCUGUGCAA